Molecule: ribosomal RNA, 449 nt
Filed under: uncultured bacterium
Lineage: Bacteria
Description: bacterial SSU rRNA
Rfam family: Bacterial small subunit ribosomal RNA
Source: RNAcentral
GGGCGGAUGGGUGAGUAACGCGUGGGUAACCUGCCUUACUGAGGGGGAUAACAACCGGAAAGCGGUUGCUAAAACCGCAUGGGGUAUGAACAUCGCGUGAUGAUCAGAUUAAAUAUUUAUAGGUGUAAGAUGGGCCCGCGUCUGAUUAGCUAGUUGGUGGGGUAAUAGCCUACCAAGGCGAUGAUCAGUAGCCGGUUUGAGAGAGUGACCGGCCACAUUGGGACUGAGACACGGCCCAAACUCAUACGGGAGGCAGCAGUGGGGAAUCUUGCACAAUGGGCGAAAGCCUGAUGCAGCGACGCCGCGUGAGUGAAGACGUACUUCGGUAUGUAAAGCUCUAUCAGCAGGGACGAUAAUGACGGUACCUGACUAAGAAGCCCCGGCUAACUACGUGCCAGCAGCCGCGGUAAUACGUAGGGGGCAAGCGUUAUCCGGAUUUACUGGGUGUA